This 665-nucleotide ribosomal RNA is filed under the name uncultured Alphaproteobacteria bacterium. Its description in RNAcentral is "bacterial SSU rRNA". It matches the Rfam family "Bacterial small subunit ribosomal RNA". Lineage: Bacteria; Pseudomonadati; Pseudomonadota; Alphaproteobacteria. The record is from RNAcentral.
AGAGUUUGAUCAUGGCUCAGAACACGCUGGCGGCACGCUAAUACAUGCAAGUCGAACGCAGUAGCAAUACUGAGUGGCAGACGGGUGAGUAUAAUGUGGGAAUAUGCCUUUUGGUUUGGAAUAACUUGGGGAAACUUGAGCUAAUACCGAAUAAGCCCUUACGGGGAAAGAUUUAUCGCCGAAAGAUUAGCCCGCACUUGAUUAGCUUGUUGGUGAGGUAAAGGCUNACCAAGGCAACGAUCAAUAGCUGUUCUUAGAGGAAGACCAGCCACAUUGGNCUUGAGACACGGNCCAGACUUCUUCGGGGGGNAAGCAAAAGUUGGGGAUGCCGUCAAGUCCUCAUGGCCCUUACGUGUUGGGCUACACACGUGCUACAAUGGNCUUACAGUGAGAAGCGAAGAGGCGACUCGGAGCUAAUCUCCAAAAUGUGUCUCAGUUCGGAUUGUACUCUGCAACUCGAGUACAUGAAGCUGGAAUUGCUAGUAAUCGCGGAUCAGCGCGCCGCGGUGAAUACGUUCCCGGGUCUUGUACACACCGCCCGUCACACCAUGGAAGUUGGUUAUACUUUAAGCAAAGCCUAAAAACUUUGACUACGGUACAAUCAGCGACUGGGGUGAAGUCGUAACAAGGUAGCCGUAGGGGAACUGCGGUUGGAUCACCUCCUU